CUGAAAAACCAAAGCAAAAUAUAAUUUUGAUCAACAUCCCUGAAUUCAACGGAGAGCUCAACGCGCUGCAACUUAAGAAAACACAUGCAAAUAGAAAAAAACACCAGCAAAUUAAGAAAACAUCUUCGUCAGUUUGACAACACGUGUGUUGCAAAUCCUCACAACACAACCAAUAAGGAACGCGCUGCAAAUAGCAGGGACCACAAUGGAAAUGUUUCAAGGGGACCCAAAAAAGUGACGGACCUGGCUGGGAUUUGCGUAUUGUGCAGUGGCUAUUGGUCAGUGGAGUUGUCGGUGAACUGAAAGGUUAUGUAUUGUCCAUAUUGUGGACUCGAACUGGCUGGACAUAUGGGUUGCUUUUGUGGUUCCUGUGGUAGCAAUAUUCAAUUUUUGGCACCUUUUCUACAGAAUGACUCAGGAACCGUAUUAGAUGAAAUCACAGAGGCAGGCCUAAUCCAUAAAUGUAUCUCAGAGGGCCACACAUAUGAAAUGAUCCUCGAUUUUCUUGGAACAAAGCAUAACAUUUUGUAACCUGAGUGUGAGC
This is a long non-coding RNA of Onychostoma macrolepis, 544 nucleotides long. RefSeq lists it as uncharacterized. The record is from RefSeq and is a predicted model, not a curated record. Lineage: Eukaryota; Metazoa; Chordata; Actinopteri; Cypriniformes; Cyprinidae. The transcript has 3 exons.